RNAcentral lists this ribosomal RNA (429 nucleotides) under Gemmatimonadota bacterium. RNAcentral's name for it is "Gemmatimonadetes bacterium partial 16S ribosomal RNA". It matches the Rfam family "Bacterial small subunit ribosomal RNA", at positions 355 to 776 of the family's 1533-position model. The record is from RNAcentral. Lineage: Bacteria; Pseudomonadati; Gemmatimonadota.
UAGGGAAUCUUCGGCAAUGGACGAAAGUCUGACCGAGCAACGCCGCGUGAGUGAAGAUGGUUUUCUGAUCGUAAAACUCUGUUGUUAGAGAAGAACAAGGACGUUAGUAACUGAACGUCCCCUGACGGUAUCUAACCAGAAAGCCACGGCUAACUACGUGCCAGCAGCCGCGGUAAUACGUAGGUGGCAAGCGUUGUCCGGAUUUAUUGGGCGUAAAGCGAGCGCAGGCGGUUUCUUAAGUCUUAUGUGAAAGCCCCCGGCUCAACCGGGGAGGGUCAUUGGAAACUGGGAGACUUGAGUUCAGAAGAGGAGAGUGGAAUUCCAUGUGUAGCGGUGAAAUACGUACAUAUAUGGAAGCACACCAGUGGCGAAGGCUGCUCUCUAGUCUGUAACUGACGCUGAGGCUCGAAAGCGUGGGGAGCAAACAGG